AUGUCAUCAAAUGGCGUUUGUAAAACAACGUUGACUUAAAAAAAUGAAACAUGCAUCAUGACAUAAAUAGUGAGUGGGGUGGGGUGGUUGGAUAAGGAACUCUUUGCGUUUAAAAUUCAACCACCAUUCUACCAACCCACAAAGCAAUAACAAACUCACCUGAACAGUGGUUGACAGUUACAGCCCAUUUACCCUUUGAUUUGGGCCAAGUUUUAUCAAUAACGAGUCAAACGGGUCAUAAGUUUUAUCAAUAACGAGUCAAACGGGUCAUAAGUUUUAUCAAUAACGAGUCAAACGGGUCAUAUUUAUAUCUUCGUAAGAGCUAAAACGGGUCAAACGUAUCAAAUGGGGUGAAAGUCGCUCAAAGGGUUACUUAAACAUUUUCGACCUCUUUAGUCUUUAAGUCGUUCUAUCCAGGUCAAAUCACUCUCCUUUUGACCCGCGUU
This 446-nucleotide long non-coding RNA is filed under the name Helianthus annuus (common sunflower). RNAcentral describes it as "hypothetical non coding rna". Lineage: Eukaryota; Viridiplantae; Streptophyta; Magnoliopsida; Asterales; Asteraceae. The record is from RNAcentral.